CAGCAGCCGCGGGAAUACGUAGGUGGCAAGCGUUGUCCGGAAUUAUUGGGCGUAAAGGGCUCGCAGGCGGUUUCUUAAGUCUGAUGUGAAAGCCCCCGGCUCAACCGGGGAGGGUCAUUGGAAACUGGGAAACUUGAGUGCAGAAGAGGAGAGUGGAAUUCCACGUGUAGCGGUGAAAUGCGUAGAGAUGCGGAAGAACACCAGUGGCGAAGGCGACUCUCUGGUCUGUAACUGACGCUGAGGAGCGAAAGCGUGGGGAGCGAACAGGAUUAGAUACCCCAGUAGUCCCUGUCUCUUAUAC
RNAcentral lists this ribosomal RNA (301 nucleotides) under uncultured bacterium. RNAcentral describes it as "partial 16S ribosomal RNA". It matches the Rfam family "Bacterial small subunit ribosomal RNA", at positions 509 to 807 of the family's 1533-position model. The record is from RNAcentral.